CCCUUAGAUGUUCUGGGCCGCACGCGCGCUACACUGAUUCAUGCAACAAGUUUUGUCCUUGGCUGAUAGGCCUGGGUAAUCUUUGAACGUGAAUCGUGAUGGGGAUAGAUGAUUGCAAUUAUUCAUCUUCAACGAGGAAUUCCUAGUAAACGCAAGUCAUCAGCUUGCAUUGAUUACGUCCCUGCCCUUUGUACACACCGCCCGUCGCACCUACCGAUUGAAUGGUCCGGUGAAAUCUUCGGAUCUGAGAGAUGUCUGAUUAAUUUCGGACGCCUUUUGGAAAAGUUGUUUGAACCUUACCAUUUAGAGGAAGGUGAAGUCGUAACA
RNAcentral lists this ribosomal RNA (327 nucleotides) under uncultured eukaryote. RNAcentral's name for it is "partial 18S ribosomal RNA". It matches the Rfam family "Eukaryotic small subunit ribosomal RNA", at positions 1470 to 1796 of the family's 1831-position model. The record is from RNAcentral.